Long non-coding RNA from Peromyscus californicus insignis, 3628 nucleotides. RefSeq lists it as uncharacterized. Lineage: Eukaryota; Metazoa; Chordata; Mammalia; Rodentia; Cricetidae. The transcript is spliced from 3 exons. The record is from RefSeq and is a predicted model, not a curated record.
ACCAGGCUGUGUACUUGUUUUAAAAAAUAGCUUACUCAGAAUGCCAUUUCUUAAGACAGAGAGCCGUCUUCUUCUAGAGGUGUUAUUUUUUGAGGUAGUUUUAUUCCAUUUUAAAAAUGAAAAAAAAAAAUCUGCUUGGGUGAAGAUAACUCAAAGAAACUGAUUAAAUAGGAACUGUCAGGGGACACAUUCCGUCAAGAGUGUCCCGCCUCUAAGGGACUGAAGCAAAGUCAGUCAGCUGCUCUCCAGCCACAGUGAGUCACAGAAGUAAUUUCUUUUCUGCGAAACUUUUAAAGUUCUGAGUUUAAUUGCAAGCAGUAAGUAGGGUUUUUAUUAUAACAGAGUUUCCUGUUAAUUAUUACAUGAUGUACAUUAUUUUACAACAUUUUCCUUUAAGAAUCUUUUUUUCUCUUUUUUUAAAAAAAACUUACAAUUAUGAAUUUUUAAGACCUUAAAAAAAGUUACUGUGGCAGCUUGUCAGGUUCUGUGAAACAAAGCCUUGUCUUUCAGAAAAUGUUUACAAUCUAUGAAGGGGAAAAAAGUAUCCUGGGGCUAAAAUGUUUACUGGCACCUGGAAGUCUGAAGAGAGAGUCCGGCCUGUGGUUUCUGGAGGGCACUUUAUCAUGGCCUGUGUUCCCAAAGGUUUCUCUGAAUGAACAGAACUGGAUUACUCAGCCUUCUAUUCCACGCCUAUUCCUCUCCAUUUUCUUUGGCACGACGGAGAGCCAGGCUAUUUUUAGUUAAGCAGUUUUCUAUUUUUAGACAACUGCCAGUUAGAAGACAUUUGUUAGGAAAAAAAAUUUAAACACACACACACACACACACACACACACACACACACACACACACACACACACACGGAGGACGGAACGGAGCCUCUCCCCACGUACUGAGAAGCAGGCCUUCAACCUGCAACUGCAGGCAUUUCAGCUGCUUUCAAUCUUGGAAAAAUAAAGAAAAAUUCAGAGUUCAGGGUUUUAAAAAUAAACCUACCCUCUGGCUAACAGACCAUAAUACAACAAGCUGUUACUAUGUGAAGCAGUGACUAUAGAAACAAAGAACAUUCUCCAAUGAUUAAACUAAGAGAAAAAGUUGAAGAGCGAUUAGGUUAUAGGAAUGUUGCACAAGUAUGUAACACUUUUCCAGCCCUUCAGCCAAAGGAUCCUGUUUUAGAAUUACGGGGUGGAGGGACUCCUCUGUCAAGUUAACAAGGGUGUGGGGUACAACGGCAAAGCUGAACUUUUUCAUCAAACUUGAGGCAGAUACACACUGUAGUUUGCUAAUGUAGUCUAUGAUAUUUUUCUGAAAUUAUAACCACCUGUUUAUAGAGAAAUUCUAUAUUUAAAAAUUUAACCCAAUGGGAAAUCAGACCCUGACAUAUCCAUAGCAUAGAUAAACAUAGUCUAUAAAUACAUUUUAGGUCUCUACGUCACUGCAUUUAUAUAUUCAUUUAAUAGUUAAAUGUAUAUUGAAUGUCUGUAAAUCAUUAGUCUCACUUUUACUUUAAAUGGGAAUAAAUGACUUGCAGACCUGUUUAGCACAUCAACUUAUCAGUCUACUUAUCAUUCAAGGUCACACUUUCGUCUAAAAUCUACCAUGAGGGGCUGGAAAGAUGGCUCAGCCGGCAGUUAAGAGCAUAGACUGCUUUUGUGGGACUCACUUUUGGUUUCCAGCAGCCACAUCUGGUGGCUCAGAACUUCCUGGAACUCCAGCUCCAGGGGAUCCAUCGCAUGCAAAUAUCACCACUCCAUAAACACACGAUUGAAAAACAGAACCCUUUACUCUUUCUUCACUCUGACACCCCUUGGGGUGCUCCCAGUGGUCAUUUUCUCCCCCUUAGCCUACUCCACUGGUAGUCAUGGUCACUUCAGUUCAGGUCACCGGGCUUUACCGUGGUCACGAUCGCGUCUCCAGCAGCCAGCAACACGCUUGGCAUGUGGACUUCACCUUCACCAUUAUCUGCUGAGCGAAACAGCAAACACUGUGUAUGUUUUGUCCACACUAGACUAUCCGUUCUGGGGUGGGGACAGUGAACAUGUCACAGUCAUUUUAUUUCCCAGGACACUUAGCACCACAUCUUACACAUUUAUUUUCUAAAUACUUGGGGGAAAAAAAUAAACAAUACAUUGACUUUUGUUUAAAUUUUUAUUUUUUUUGUGUGUGAAAGGUUAGCUCUUUAUACUAAUGUAUUAUUAGUAUAAAAUAUUAUAUAUCUUCAAGUUAAGAACUUCUUGUUUGCUAUCUUUUUUUUUUUAUUUCCUGAACUUUCUCCUUGGCUUUCAAAGUACAACCAAUUUUUACAACUGAACAGUUUACAACAGGCUCUGACAUCUUUUAUAACUCAUAAUCCAAAUUACAGGCCCGGGGAGAACUCUAUGGAAACAGUACUCAAGGGAGGGGCCUGCAGCCUAGAAGUUAUGGUAUUGUCUCCAGUCAACAAUGUUUUGGGGUGCUGGGGAUCAAACUCACGACCUGCCACCUCAACUAUGUCCCUCUGAAGUGGCUGAAUUUCAGGGUAACAUGAAACAUGCUGGGAACACCAGUGAGAUGUAACAGGAUAAUGUGGCAGACUGUCUUAAGGAUUCUUAUGACCACAAGGACAAUGAAAACAAAGGGAGAGGGGCUACCUGUCCUCCUGAAUCACCCCAACCAAUCACAUUACACUUCUCCAGCUAGUUUGGACUUGGACCCAGAAACCUCCUCACCCGCUCUAGGAAGGCUCUACCAAACGACUGCUCACAGAGGAAGGGAGCAUAGAGCAAUGCCUAAAUGUCCUGCUUACCCUAAGUAUGGCUUCCCUGCUGAGUCAUAAUGGGCAUUAACAAGGGCACUGCCUGAAAAAGCCAACUCUGUUGCUUGCAAGAAUUAGUUCUGUUGAUUACCAGUUUAAAGAAAUAUUACUGAUACUAUGCUAAGAUUCUAUUUUAUAAUGUGACUGUAACCAGGAAAAGUACAAAAGAAGAAAUUUUGCACAGUUAAACUUUCAAACUCCAUUCAGAAGACAAGAAGUGUUCACGAAGAUCAGCAUCAACUGGAAGCAUGUUAAAAAUACACAGUCCAAUGUCACACUUAGACCCAUCCCAUUGGAAUCAACCUUUUAGGAAGACACUUCCAGUAACACAAGACUGGGCCAGAAGCAAUCUGACCCAUUGAUCCUUCUUGCUCCAUCCAGGUGAAGGCCCUGAAGUUUAUCCUUCCCUAGGAAUCAACAGACCUUGGCCUAGAAGCCAUUUCGUUUUCCUUGCUGGAGCUGGAAACAAUAUUUCUCCUAGGUUUCCUCUAUCUUUUAAGUUUUAAUGUGUAUCUGUAUGGGUGUCUGUUUCGUGAAUAAGCGCACGCCUGUGUGUAAGGGCACAUGUGCACAAUGCACCUGUGACGGCUACAAAGAAAUUUUGGCUCUUGUUUCUCAAAAUCCGGCUUGUUUUUGGACAGGGUUUUACACUGGGAUUUGAAUCUCGCUGACUAACGGAGCUGGUUUGACCUCUGCACUGUGGGCAUUUACCCAUGUGCUAGGGAUUGAAUUCAGGUACUCACUCUUGCACAGAGAACAUUUUACUGACCGGGCCAUCUUCCCAGCCCAGAUUUUGUUUUCUGAUGGAACAACAACUUUCAUUCAUCUCUAGUCCAC